AGCUGUGUCCUUCCGGGAAGGAGUUGGCCUCCAAAACCAACAAGCUCAGUUCGACUCUGAGCAUGGCUGCCA
Molecule: transfer RNA, 72 nt
Filed under: Salmonella phage pSal-SNUABM-01
Lineage: Duplodnaviria; Heunggongvirae; Uroviricota; Caudoviricetes; Grimontviridae
Description: tRNA-Trp
Rfam family: tRNA
About the family: Transfer RNA (tRNA) molecules are approximately 80 nucleotides in length. Their secondary structure includes four short double-helical elements and three loops (D, anti-codon, and T loops). Further hydrogen bonds mediate the characteristic L-shaped molecular structure. tRNAs have two regions of fundamental functional importance: the anti-codon, which is responsible for specific mRNA codon recognition, and the 3' end, to which the tRNAs corresponding amino acid is attached (by aminoacyl-tRNA synthetases). tRNAs cope with the degeneracy of the genetic code in two manners: having more than one tRNA (with a specific anti-codon) for a particular amino acid; and 'wobble' base-pairing, i.e. permitting non-standard base-pairing at the 3rd anti-codon position.
Source: RNAcentral